This 253-nucleotide ribosomal RNA is filed under the name uncultured bacterium. RNAcentral's name for it is "partial 16S ribosomal RNA". It matches the Rfam family "Bacterial small subunit ribosomal RNA", at positions 524 to 776 of the family's 1533-position model. The record is from RNAcentral.
UACGGAGGGUGCGAGCGUUGUCCGGAAUCACUGGGCGUAAAGGGCGCGUAGGUGGCGCCGCAAGUCAACGGUGAAAGCUCGACGCUUAACGUCGAGUCGGCCGUCGAGACUGCGGGGCUCGAGCACUGUAGAGGCUCAUGGAAUUCCGGGUGUAGCGGUGGAAUGCGUAGAGAUCCGGAAGAACACCGGUGGCGAAGGCGGGUCUCUGGACAGUUCUUGACGCUGAGGCACGAAGGUCAGGGGAGCAAACGGG